AUGGAUCGAGCGAUGCAGACAUAGUGGAAACUUGCUUUGGAACCAAUUGCAGAAUGUACUAGGGACACCCAUUCCUAUGGGUUUCGUCCCGGUCGUAGCACACAAGAUUGUCAACAAUUUCUGUGGCUACUCUGCAGUGGAAAGCAUGGCCCUAAAUGGGUUCUAGAAGCUGAUAUUAAAGGUUUCUAUGACAAUAUUCACCAUAACUGGCUGUAGGAAAAUAUCCCCAUGGACAAACACAUUUAGAAGCAAUUCUAGAAAGCUGGGUUCAUGGAGAAUCAUUCUCUGCAGGAAACAACUAGGGGAGUGCCUCAAGGAGGCACAAUCUCCCCUAUUAUUGCAAAUAUGACUUUGGAUGGUUUGGAGAAAGUGGUUGCCAAAACUGCUGAAGAUACCCUAAAACUAGUACCUAAGCCUAAGAGUAAGAAAACAUCCACUUGGGUGCAUACUAUUCGCUAUGCUGAUGACUUUGUGAUCACUGGAGCAAAUAAGAAAAUGCUCGAUGGUCCUAUUCGUAG
Molecule: ribosomal RNA, 518 nt
Filed under: Tetradesmus obliquus
Lineage: Eukaryota; Viridiplantae; Chlorophyta; Chlorophyceae; Sphaeropleales; Scenedesmaceae
Description: large subunit ribosomal RNA
Source: RNAcentral